This 306-nucleotide ribosomal RNA is filed under the name Comamonas sp. Its description in RNAcentral is "bacterial SSU rRNA". It matches the Rfam family "Bacterial small subunit ribosomal RNA", at positions 1045 to 1354 of the family's 1533-position model. The record is from RNAcentral. Lineage: Bacteria; Pseudomonadati; Pseudomonadota; Betaproteobacteria; Burkholderiales; Comamonadaceae.
AUGGCUGUCGUCAGCUCGUGUCGUGAGAUGUUGGGUUAAGUCCCGCAACGAGCGCAACCCUUGCCAUUAGUUGCUACAUUCAGUUGAGCACUCUAAUGGGACUGCCGGUGACAAACCGGAGGAAGGUGGGGAUGACGUCAAGUCCUCAUGGCCCUUAUAGGUGGGGCUACACACGUCAUACAAUGGCUGGUACAAAGGGUUGCCAACCCGCGAGGGGGAGCUAAUCCCAUAAAGCCAGUCGUAGUCCGGAUCGCAGUCUGCAACUCGACUGCGUGAAGUCGGAAUCGCUAGUAAUCGUGAUCAGAA